ACGGAGGCAGCAGUGAGGAAUAUUGGUCAAUGGACGAGAGUCUGAACCAGCCAAGUAGCGUGAAGGAUGACUGCUCUAUGGGUUGUAAACUUCUUUUAUAUGGGAAUAAAGUAUUCCACGUGUGGAAUUUUGUAUGUACCAUAUGAAUAAGGAUCGGCUAACUCCGUGCCAGCAGCCGCGGUAAUACGGAGGAUCCGAGCGUUAUCCGGAUUUAUUGGGUUUAAAGGGAGCGUAGGUGGAUUGUUAAGUCAGUUGUGAAAGUUUGCGGCUCAACCGUAAAAUUGCAGUUGAAACUGGCAGUCUUGAGUACAGUAGAGGUGGGCGGAAUUCGUGGUGUAGCGGUGAAAUGCUUAGAUAUCACGAAGAACUCCGAUUGCGAAGGCAGCUCACUAGACUGCACUGACACUGAUGCUCGAAAGUGUGGGUAUCAAACAGGAUUAGAUACCCUGGUAGUCCACACAGUAAACGAUGAAUACUCGCUGUUUGCGAUAUACAGUAAGCGGCCAAGCGAAAGCAUUAAGUAUUCCACCUGGGGAGUACGCCGGCAACGGUGAAACUCAAAGGAAUUGACGGGGGCCCGCACAAGCGGAGGAACAUGUGGUUUAAUUCGAUGAUACGCGAGGAACCUUACCCGGGCUUAAAUUGCAUUUGAAUAAUUUGGAAACAGGUUAGCCGCAAGGCAAAUGUGAAGGUGCUGCAUGGUUGUCGUCAGCUCGUGCCGUGAGGUGUCGGCUUAAGUGCCAUAACGAGCGCAACCCUUAUCUUUAGUUACUAACAGGUCAUGCUGAGGACUCUAGAGAGACUGCCGUCGUAAGAUGUGAGGAAGGUGGGGAUGACGUCAAAUCAGCACGGCCCUUACGUCCGGGGCUACACACGUGUUACAAUGGGGGGUACAGAAGGCAGCUACCUGGUGACAGGAUGCUAAUCCCAAAAACCUCUCUCAGUUCGGAUCGAAGUCUGCAACCCGACUUCGUGAAGCUGGAUUCGCUAGUAAUCGCGCAUCAGCCAUGGCGCGGUGAAUACGUUCCCGG
Molecule: ribosomal RNA, 1031 nt
Filed under: Bacteroides sp. BLBE-6
Lineage: Bacteria; Pseudomonadati; Bacteroidota; Bacteroidia; Bacteroidales; Bacteroidaceae
Description: bacterial SSU rRNA
Rfam family: Bacterial small subunit ribosomal RNA
Source: RNAcentral